This 20-nucleotide transfer RNA is filed under the name Natrix natrix (European grass snake). RNAcentral describes it as "partial transfer RNA-Leu". RNAcentral also lists the same sequence under 2 other names. The record is from RNAcentral. Lineage: Eukaryota; Metazoa; Chordata; Lepidosauria; Squamata; Natricidae.
UCUACCAAAGGAUAAUAGUA